RNAcentral lists this ribosomal RNA (512 nucleotides) under uncultured bacterium. RNAcentral's name for it is "bacterial SSU rRNA". It matches the Rfam family "Bacterial small subunit ribosomal RNA", at positions 15 to 518 of the family's 1533-position model. The record is from RNAcentral.
GAUCUGGUUCAGGAUGAACGCUAGCUACAGGCUUAACACAUGCAAGUCGAGGGGCAGCAUGAUCUAGCUUGCUAAGAUGAUGGCGACCGGCGCACGGGUGAGUAACGCGUAUCCAACCUUCCCUGUACUAGGGGAUAGCCCGGCGAAAGUCGGAUUAAUACCCUAUGUUUUCCGAAGCGAGCAUUUAAUUUGGAACAAAGGUUUACCGGUAUAGGAUGGGGAUGCGUCUGAUUAGAUAGUAGGCGGGGUAACGGCCCACCUAGUCGACGAUCAGUAGGGGUUCUGAGAGGAAGGUCCCCCACAUUGGAACUGAGACACGGUCCAAACUCCUACGGGAGGCAGCAGUGAGGAAUAUUGGUCAAUGGGCGAGAGCCUGAACCAGCCAAGUAGCGUGCCAGGAUGACGGCCCUAUGGGUUGUAAACUGCUUUUAUAUAGGGAUAAAGUGAGGGACGUGUCCCUUAUUGUAGGUACUAUAUGAAUAAGGACCGGCUAAUUCCGUGCCAGCCGCAGC